RNAcentral lists this transfer RNA (68 nucleotides) under Urostylis sp. HL-2012. RNAcentral's name for it is "tRNA-Gln". Lineage: Eukaryota; Metazoa; Arthropoda; Insecta; Hemiptera; Urostylididae. The record is from RNAcentral.
UGCAUUUUAGUGUAUGAGGCACUUAAAUUUUGAUCUUUAUAGUUAUGGUUUAAUUCCAUAGAUUGCAA